GCGCGGCGCUGCCAUAAACACGGCAAGAUGGCGGCGCUCACGCCGCCCGCCCGCCCGUGCUGCGUCAUGUCGCGCCCCGGCCCCGCCGCGCCCGCAGGCUCGCCGCAGUUUGUGCUCCAUGCGCGCUGGGGAGGAUGGAAAUGAGGUUCGUUCCCCUCACACCUGCAGGGUGGGAGCAGCUCGCAGCGCUGGAGGAUCCUCGACCCGUGCGUAGGGCUGGGGAGGGAUGAGCCCCGGGGCUGUGGGCAGGGAACGGCCCCAAUCCCAUCGCUGGGAUGCCGAAGGAAUUUUGGUUCCUAUGGAACAACUGCAAAAACAUCACCAGCCCCGAAUGGGCAGGAGGUGGAACUGGAGUUUAAAAACAAUCGAGCCAACUUAAACAGGUUUUAAAGGUGAGAACUGGCAGCAAACACUGGAAAGUAGAGGGUUUUUUUUAAAAAGUGUGUGGAAAUUUGCAGGGCCUUAGCAAUAACAAGAGCAAAAAUGUGUGCUGGACUUCAAAACUAAUGUGAGUUUUGCUAUGAAAAAGGUGGUUUUUUUCCAGAUUAAUGGAGAACCUACUUGAGCUUUCUGCAUCAGGUCUGUGUAUCUUUAGUCUGGCUGAAGCAAAACAAAAAUCUGUGUGUGUGUGUGUGUGUGAGAGAUGCAGGACACCAAACUGUAUUUGUAUUGGGGGAAGAGCUGGAUCCUCCAGAGGGUGCUGGGGAGGAUUUGUUCACUCUCUGCCUUUAAUGCAGUGAUAAAUAACUGCUGGAGCAAGAGUAAAAUCCUGAUAGAGUGAUCAAAGCAUGCUUGAAUUGCAAAGCAGUGAUUCUUCUCUUAUCACCUCAGCCUGUGAAAUGUGGAAUUCCCAGUCCCACACUUAACCCAUUCCACUGAAAUCAGUAGAAUUCCUCACCUGGAAUACCAAUGGUGGUGUGAAAACACCUCGAGUGAGAGCCAAGGGCUCAUGCAGCUCCUUUCCUUUUCAAAACCCAUCCUAGCAGGGACAGAAUCCUUUAAUAUUUUUAGCAAGUUUUUGUUGUGCUUUCCUAGCAACAGCCAAUUCCUUAAUGAUUAAUCCCCAAACUGUGGCAAAUCUGCAAAUUUGGGGAUGUAUGCUGAAGUCAUCUGUGCUGCCUGACGUCAGCAUUGCAUAAUCUGUUGACUGUCCCCUUUUUAUGUAAUGUAUGUUUGGAGUUUGUUUUAAAAUGUACAAAUGGAUUUUUUUUUUUUCCCCUGCGUGUUGCUCCUCCAAUAUUCCACGUUUGCCUCUCCAUUGCCCUCUGGAGUUGCAAACUUGUAAGGCAGCGUUUUCAUGGCUGGAUCCAGCCGAGUGUUUUGUAUUUCUCUCUUAAAAACAGCCUCUGGAACAUCUCAGCACCUUCUCUUUGCCAGGUGAGUUACUUAGAGUGUUAAAAAAAACCCCAAGUUUUGGAGUUUCUGCUUCCUCCUGGUGGAAGCUUCUUGUGCUGCUGGAGUGCAUCAAGAUCAUAAAUGGACUUUUAUUGGAAACUUAGUAACACAUUAACUUUGGCAGUGUAAAACCGUUGUGUUUUUUUAAACUCAUUUCAGAACUUGAUGUAUCCAUUCCCUCAGGCAACAUGGGGGUUGUAGAAAUAAUUUGGUGAUGUUUUCAGGAAUGCCUGGUUUUAGGGAAGAAAAACCAAGAGGGAGUAAAGUUGUAGAAAUGCACAACAAAGUGGGGGCUGGAGAAAUAGUUCCAUGAUCUUUUCAGCAGUGCCUCUUUUUAAGGAAGAAAAGAAACGUAGGGGAGAGUAAAUAUAUGUUGAUGGAAGCUUGUAAUUUAACUAAUUAGUGGGAUUGUGCAUUUCAAAUGUUUUUAUGUGGAUUUGAUGACCUAAAAAUGCCAACUUGGGCACCUCGAGGCCCCUCUUUGCUUCCUGCAGCUGCAGCCCCUGUGAGCACAGCUGGCACUGGCAGCUGCUCCCCUCGGGGGGCACAGCAAGGAUCAGCUGUGCCAAACUCCAGAGCAGCCCAGUGGAGGUGUGGGAUGGGCUGGAAAAUCCCAGCUCCUGGAGAAUCAGGCAGCAGGAGGCUGGCAGGCUCAGGGCACGGUGCCCGUGGUGAUCCCGCUGUCCCAGAGUGGCUCCAGCAGCUCUCCUGGCUGCCUGCCACUGUCCCCACUGCUCCCUGACACCCAACACUCCAGCAGCAUCAGGAGCCAAGGGCUGCUGGCUGGAUUUAAGGGGGAGGAAGGGCUGCCCCCGUGGAGGAGGGUUGGUUACUCUUUCUCCAUGAAAUCCAGCGUGGGUGGAUUUGCCCAGAAGGUGCUGCUUAAAGCCUCUCAGAGCUGUGCUGCAGAAGUCACCCAUGGUCAUUAAGACAACACUAAUUAUGUGGAUAAUUUGCUGGAGUGAACCUCAGCUGCAAAGCCACUCGUGUUAAAGCUGCUGAGGCUUUCACCUGUGGGGUGAGGUGGGGUUUUGGGGACACUGAGGGAGGAGGACACCGAGGACUCGGCGGUGCCACGGAGGGGCCCAUGACUGCCAGGCUGCCCUGGCUCAGUUAUCACAGUGCUGAUGCUGUCUCUUGUAAAGGUACAGUACUGUGAUAACUGAAGGAUGGCAGCCAUCUGAGCUUCAUGGCAUCCUGGGGCCACCAGAGCCGCCACGCGCCGCUGGAGUGUCCUCGCUUCACCUGCAACCCUCGGCACAAAAGUCACAUUUGUUUCAAUAAAAUCGUUCACACUUUG
Molecule: long non-coding RNA, 2695 nt
Organism: Oenanthe melanoleuca
Lineage: Eukaryota; Metazoa; Chordata; Aves; Passeriformes; Muscicapidae
Exons: 2
Source: RefSeq, a predicted model, not a curated record